This 1006-nucleotide long non-coding RNA is filed under the name Equus asinus (donkey). RNAcentral's name for it is "lncRNA (ENSEASG00005031185.1)". The record is from RNAcentral. Lineage: Eukaryota; Metazoa; Chordata; Mammalia; Perissodactyla; Equidae.
AGCAAGGGGCUAGACUCCCCACUUACAGAACAUGCUCAUGAAUUGUGAAGCUUGUCCUGCCAGCUUCAGCCCAAGAGCCGUGCCUAGGCUAUAGAAGAAGAGAUGAAAGAGGUUAAUAGAAAACUUAACUCAAUCUGGAUGAAACAAGUGGAAUUUGUUGCCUCUUAGCCAAUAAAAUGGAAGUCCAAAGGUAUUUAUGGAGCAUUGUUUUAUGGUGAUGAAUAGGACAGGGAAAGCCUCUGUUUUCAUGGUGCUCAUACGUUCAAGGAAGAGAGUCACCAAAUUCUGCCUGCAGAGCUUACAGCCUUGUGCCUUCCACUCAGGAGGUGUUCAAUCAACAGUUGUUAAACGAGGGAUGAUGAUCUCAUAUAGACCUACAGAAUCUCAGAGCUGAGGAUUAUCAACCACAUUAUACAGAAAGGUCGAGUCACUUGACUAAGGAGGACGAUGAGCCAAGAGCGCAGUUGGAGUUCAGUCAGAUGGAGCAUUCCUGGUGCUGCCUCCUUGCGUGAAAGAUAUUGUCAUGAGAAAGUCACAUGCAAAUGAAGGAGGCUGUAAUUAGGAGAGGAAAAAUAACAUCACCAUGGGAGACGUUGGCUGAGAGGUUCAGGAAGAUUUGUGCACUGAACAAAGGUUGCAGUCUCUCUGUAUGGAAGACAUCAGGAACUAUUCCUCUCAUGACUUUAUUAAAUUGGCCUGAAUUAUCAGCAACUGUGAUCCCUCAGUCCAGGAGAAGAAAGCUUCUUAAAGAGCAGCCCUAUAGAGAGGCCCAAGCAGCAAGGAGCUGAUAUCUCCAGCCAACAGCCAACAAGGACCUGUGGCCUGUCUGCAGUCAUGGUGUGUGCCAGAUGCUGCAAAGAGAAAAAGACUCAACUCUUCCUAAAGAGUUCACAAAAAAUUGGGGGAAUAACACAUCAGAUGACUCAAUUUCAUCGAAUGGAACCCACUCACCCCCGAAAGCAUCUAAUACUCAGCCAGUUCCAACAGAACAAUGGUAACAUGGUGG